UAUAUAUACAGGUUAGUUCAAAACUCAGAAGUUCAAAAGUCAAUAGUGAUUGGUCGAGCGAUAUGACGUCAUCGAUUUGGAAAUCACAAGGUUCUUAUAUAUACAGGUUAGUUCAAAACGAAGUCAAUGGUGAUUGGUCAAGCGGUAUGACGUCAUCGAUUGGGAAAUCAUGUCAACAGAAGAGCUAUAAAUCGUGAAAUUGCAACUUAAAACGCUCGUUGUUCCCUUCCGGAAUAAACUAUCAUCAUUUAUCAAAUGGUUUCAAGCCAAGUCUUUGGCGAAUGCAUUGAACCACUUAUCAAGUCAGUGGCAGAGGAAAAUUAUUCGCCCAGAUAAUGUGAUGAUGAAACAGCCCUGAUGGAGAGAUCCCACCGUCCUCCCAUCCUACGUCCGUGGUCCGUGCAACACAAUACGCCAGCCAGAUUCAAAUAAUUCAGGCCACUUCUUCCAAGGCCCAGUUAGGCCCCAUUCCAAGAAUUGACCGAAAAGGCCUUUAUUCAGCUUUUUACAAUCGUGGACACCCCAACAAAUUUGAGGAGGUCCUCAAUUGAGGACCUAUCCCCCUGCUACUUCACUUCCAUUGGCCUUCCGCAGGGGGAUUCCCUAUCGCCAAUUCUUUUUUAUCUUUAUAUAUCCGACCUGGCCGAAGCCCUCACCAAUUAAGGCCCCACCAUCAACCAUUUUCCGGUAUAAUAUCUGCAAUACGUAAACGACCUGAUUUUCUUGGCUGAAUCAGCAGUUGAAUUGCAAAAUGCCGUCAAUGCCCUGAACGGCUACUGACAAGAGAACGCCUUCAAGUCAAUACCAGAAAGACGAAGGCCAUGGUUUUCCAUAAAGGCCGUCUGCCUCCCACCUCCUUCUAUAUUAACAAUAGUCCGAUUGAAAUCGGCAAGUGCUUCAACUAUGUCGGUUUCACCUUCUCCACCCAACACUCCUUCACCAAUCACCUGAACUCUGCAAUGAACAAAGCCAGAGCUAAGAUCGGAUACUUGUGCAAUAGACUUCCCAUCGAGAAUCUUCUCCUUCCAAUAGUUCUUCAACUCUUCCGGACCUACAUCACUCUAAUUUUCCUCUACGGCCUUCACCUGUGGCUCCCAAACUCCGCCUCACUUUUUUCAUGUGCACUGAACCAAUUCUAGUGAUACUCAUUGUGACAUCACUUUCUAGUCAACUUUUUUUAUCAUUCUUGACCACUUCAUUCUUUUAUCCUUCAACCGAUUUUUGCAUAUAAUAUUUAUACAUACAGUUUGGAGAGAUGCCAUGAAUAUUGGACGCUAAUUGCGCGAUGACCUAAUUGCUCUCUUCAAUACGAAUGCUCGAAGACGACGACUGAGAAAAGAAAAUGGUUUUACUCAUUCUAAAAACGGAACUUACUAGGAAAAUAAAGAACUCGUGCAUCUCCCUAAA
This is a long non-coding RNA of Tigriopus californicus, 1407 nucleotides long. RefSeq lists it as uncharacterized. Lineage: Eukaryota; Metazoa; Arthropoda; Copepoda; Harpacticoida; Harpacticidae. The transcript has 2 exons. The record is from RefSeq and is a predicted model, not a curated record.